GGGUUGUGAGGUUAAGCGACUAAGCGUACACGGUGGAUGCCCUGGCAGUCAGAGGCGAUGAAGGACGUGCUAAUCUGCGAUAAGCGUCGGUAAGGUGAUAUGAACCGUUAUAACCGGCGAUUUCCGAAUGGGGAAACCCAGUGUGUUUCGACACACUAUCAUUAACUGAAUCCAUAGGUUAAUGAGGCGAACCGGGGGAACUGAAACAUCUAAGUACCCCGAGGAAAAGAAAUCAACCGAGAUUCCCCCAGUAGCGGCGAGCGAACGGGGAGCAGCCCAGAGCCUGAAUCAGUGUGUGUGUUAGUGGAAGCGUCUGGAAAGGCGCGCGAUACAGGGUGACAGCCCCGUACACAAAAAUGCACAUGCUGUGAGCUCGAUGAGUAGGGCGGGACACGUGGUAUCCUGUCUGAAUAUGGGGGGACCAUCCUCCAAGGCUAAAUACUCCUGACUGACCGAUAGUGAACCAGUACCGUGAGGGAAAGGCGAAAAGAACCCCGGCGAGGGGAGUGAAAAAGAACCUGAAACCGUGUACGUACAAGCAGUGGGAGCACGCUUAGGCGUGUGACUGCGUACCUUUUGUAUAAUGGGUCAGCGACUUAUAUUCUGUAGCAAGGUUAACCGAAUAGGGGAGCCGAAGGGAAACCGAGUCUUAACUGGGCGUUAAGUUGCAGGGUAUAGACCCGAAACCCGGUGAUCUAGCCAUGGGCAGGUUGAAGGUUGGGUAACACUAACUGGAGGACCGAACCGACUAAUGUUGAAAAAUUAGCGGAUGACUUGUGGCUGGGGGUGAAAGGCCAAUCAAACCGGGAGAUAGCUGGUUCUCCCCGAAAGCUAUUUAGGUAGCGCCUCGUGAAUUCAUCUC
RNAcentral lists this ribosomal RNA (862 nucleotides) under Escherichia coli. Its description in RNAcentral is "partial 23S ribosomal RNA". It matches the Rfam family "Bacterial large subunit ribosomal RNA", at positions 1 to 896 of the family's 2925-position model. The record is from RNAcentral. Lineage: Bacteria; Pseudomonadati; Pseudomonadota; Gammaproteobacteria; Enterobacterales; Enterobacteriaceae.